Molecule: ribosomal RNA, 387 nt
Filed under: uncultured bacterium
Lineage: Bacteria
Description: bacterial SSU rRNA
Rfam family: Bacterial small subunit ribosomal RNA
Source: RNAcentral
AUUAAACGCUGGCGGCAUGCCUUACACAUGCAAGUCGAACGGCAGCACGGGGGCAACCCUGGUGGCGAGUGGCGGACGGGUGAGUAAAGCAUCGGAACGUAUCCUGGAGUGGGGGAUAACGUAGCGAAAGUUACGCUAAUACCGCAUAUUCUGUGAGCAGGAAAGCAGGGGAUCGCAAGACCUUGCGCUCUGGGAGCGGCCGAUGUCGGAUUAGCUAGUUGGUGGGGUAAAGGCCUACCAAGGCGACGAUCCGUAGCGGGUCUGAGAGGAUGAUCCGCCACACUGGGACUGAGACACGGCCCAGACUCCUACGGGAGGCAGCAGUGGGGAAUUUUGGGACAAUGGGCGGAAGCCUGAUCCAGCCAUGCCGCGUGAGUGAAGAAGGCC